Molecule: long non-coding RNA, 1070 nt
Filed under: Numida meleagris (helmeted guineafowl)
Lineage: Eukaryota; Metazoa; Chordata; Aves; Galliformes; Numididae
Description: lncRNA (ENSNMEG00000000772.1)
Source: RNAcentral
CAAACCGCAGCUUUAAUCAGAGCCUGCCUGAUGAAACCUGUUUACACGCUUGCCAUUGUUCAUGAGCCACGUUCAUUAGGCAAGCAGCGUUAAUGACGAUCCCAAGGCAGGAACUUUAAUCAGAGGGGAGGGCGAGGGACAGCCUUCCCUGGUGCUGUUCCAAUGAGUGCUCCCAGCAGCCCCCAGCCCCCAGCAGCACGGAACACUGCCAAGUGUGGAGCAUAACUCGUUCAAGAAGGGGGAAAUGAGAGGCAAAGUAAUAAUCAAAAUGCUCCAAAGGAGAAGACCAGAGGCUUUCAUCAAGGAUGAGAAUAAAGCUGCGCCCUGGAAACUUGGAAGGCAGCAAACCUAAAGCUGGCAAAACAUGCCUUCACCAGUCAGACAGCUCCUUUGUGCUGUGCUGGUUUUUUACAUGGGCAGAUAGUGAUGGACAAGGGGGAAUGGCUUUAAACUAGAAGACGGGAGAUUCGGGUCAGGUAUUAGGAGGAAAUCCUUUACUCGGAUGCAGUGAGGAGCUGCCCACAGCUGUGGGUGCUCCAUUGCUGGAGGUGCCCAAGGCCACGGACAGGGCUCUGGGUGACCUGCUCACCCCCUCCAUGGCAGCAGGUUGGAACUGGGUGUGCUUUGGGGUCCCUUGCAACCCAGCCAUUCUAUGGUUCUACGCUACUGUGAUUCUACGAUUCCAUGUUUCUGUGAAUAAACAGGCUCCUGGGGUUGCACGGUGGUGGUGGGCUGAGCCCAGAGCUGCACGCGUUGGAGGUCCCAGGGUCCCACCAGGGCUCAGCCCGCGGUGUCAAACGCUUCCCUCUAAUAAGCAAGCUCUGUCAGGAACUCAAUGAAGUGAAACCCAAAGUUGCAAUGCCAGAACCAGACCCAACGAAGAAUCCCUUCCUCGUGCCCAUGGUUGUGGCAGGCAGGCGGUUGCAUCCUCGAGGAGGAAUUCCCAUCAUAAAUGGGAGAAGAGAUGGAGCCAUGGCUGUGCCCCCACCCCAACCCAGGGGCACCCAGCAAAGCCCCACAAAGGGAGAACAGCAGCGCACAAGCAAAAAUGGCGCACGUCAUGCAUAUGC